GUAUCGCACGAGCGCACCCCUAUCCUUAUUUGCCAGCACGUAAUGGUGGGAACUCUAGGGAGACUGCCGGUGAUAAACCGGAGGAAGGUGGGGACGACGUCAAGUCAUCAUGGCCCUUACGAGUAGGGCUACACACGUGCUACAAUGGCGUAUACAGAGGGUUGCAAAGCCGCGAGGUGGAGCUAAUCUCACAAAGUACGUCGUAGUCCGGAUCGGAGUCUGCAACUCGACUCCGUGAAGUCGGAAUCGCUAGUAAUCGUGGAUCAGAAUGCCGCGGUGAAUACGUUCCCGGGCCUUGUACACACCGCCCGUCACGUCAUGGAAGUGGGUUGCACCCGAAGUGGCUUGUUUAACCUUCGGGAAGACGGUCACCACGGUGUGAUUCAUAACUGGGACGAAGUCGUACCAAGGUAGCCCUAGGGGAAGGUGGGGCUGGAUCACCUCCUU
Molecule: ribosomal RNA, 447 nt
Filed under: uncultured Shewanellaceae bacterium
Lineage: Bacteria; Pseudomonadati; Pseudomonadota; Gammaproteobacteria; Alteromonadales; Shewanellaceae
Description: bacterial SSU rRNA
Rfam family: Bacterial small subunit ribosomal RNA
Source: RNAcentral